UGGGGGAGAGAACAGGUAGACA
Molecule: microRNA, 22 nt
Filed under: Pteropus alecto (black flying fox)
Lineage: Eukaryota; Metazoa; Chordata; Mammalia; Chiroptera; Pteropodidae
Description: pal-miR-9287-5p
Source: miRBase by way of RNAcentral